RNAcentral lists this long non-coding RNA (1235 nucleotides) under Sus scrofa (pig). Its description in RNAcentral is "lncRNA (ENSSSCG00015004914.1)". Lineage: Eukaryota; Metazoa; Chordata; Mammalia; Artiodactyla; Suidae. The record is from RNAcentral.
ACCUGUGCUUCCCCUUAUAUAACCUUGUUACCAUGGGAACCUAGGUGGAGGGGGGUCGUUUCUGCCAGAUGGGGCAACUGAAAAUGUGUCUUCCAGUUUCCUGAUUUUAUUGAUGGCCGGGGAAACUCAGUAGCUGCUGAUAUGCUUGCUGAAGUCGCCAUAUGAAGUCGAAUGUUGUGUGGCUGGAGGGAUGUUGUGGAGGGUUUUGUCCAUCCCAGACACUGUCUCCUGGUGGAGGAUUCAUAGGAAAGGGCACAUUGAAAAUGUCAGGAACUCCCCAAGAUGCCAUUCUUGACCUGCCACCUGGUCCUGCUCACUGGUUGGCUUGGCUAAUUUCAGGCUCCUGUUACAUGUGGUUGUUGAACUUGGGCCUGAAAUCUAACAGCUCCUGGCUCUUAGAAUCUUAGGAGGGGCAGUUAGCCACAUGCCGGGUGGAGUUGUGGGGUGUGGGGCUGGACUUUUUGGAGCCUCAGUUGAAGGAACAAGUUGCAAGUGGGUGAAAAUAACACAUCAGGGCCAGGAGUCCAUCUGAAGAGGGGGCUUCCUGAAGCGAAGGUCCACGUGCUUCUGUGUGGCCUCCCCACGGUCCCUCCGUGAGGGUGGAGGCCAGGGACUUGAAGAAACAGGAUCUUGCCCAGGCCCGUUCUCCAUCUGUAUUUACAUUCUUAAGGCUCUCUAGAUGGAUUUUUCUGUGAUCUGACCUACUUUCCUUUAGCGAGUGUGCUUGGGCUAAUUAGCAGCACGGGGUCCAUUGGUCCUGUUUAGAGAGUUUUGCUGCUAUGGCAACUGGAGACUUCCUGAGGCUGGAGUGAAAGAUAAAGCCACUCAAGUUUGUUUUUCUUGGGGUGUCAGAGGUGCCUCAAAUGACUUGCCCUUUCUGACUAUGGCCCAGUCCCUUGGACCCUAAUGGGAUUUAAGAGCCUAUACCACGUAGUUUCUCUCUCAAUUACAGGGGUCUGGCGGGUUUGCUGAUCCUGCUAGUAUGUGUCAGUAAGAAACUUGAAAAUAGACUCAUCUUAUUCGACAUUUGUAGGCCAGACACAUGCGAAGUGCAUUAAUAUAUAUGGAAUUGCUAAUUGUUCUAGAAAUGAUAGUGCCUUCCUUGAUUUACCCAGGGUUCUAGGAUGUCUUGGGGACCUCAGUAGGAAGGCUGGCGGUGGAGCCCAUCUAAGUGCCCUAGCCUACCUUUCGUGUCUUAGAAUAGCCAUGCUCUGGUCGAAAGCUGGCCAGAGGGG